This is a long non-coding RNA of Lampris incognitus (smalleye Pacific opah), 234 nucleotides long. RefSeq lists it as uncharacterized. The transcript has 3 exons. The record is from RefSeq and is a predicted model, not a curated record. Lineage: Eukaryota; Metazoa; Chordata; Actinopteri; Lampriformes; Lampridae.
GGGCAUUGAUCUGACUGUCAAGUUAUAUACAGCACAGGCUUCAAGAGGGGGCAACGUUUCCUUUCGGCGUUGGCGUUAUUUUCCUCCACCGGAUCGCACACGAGUGUCAUUUAUCAUGUGGACCAGGUUGCAGAAAUAUAAUGUCAUCAUUUGCCACUGCAGUCGGCCCCCUGAUGACACCAAUACAGAGGUACAUGAAGCUGUCAGCAGCAGAAAGGAAACAGCAAUACAGGG